This 638-nucleotide long non-coding RNA is filed under the name Cottoperca gobio. RNAcentral describes it as "lncRNA (ENSCGOG00000022037.1)". Lineage: Eukaryota; Metazoa; Chordata; Actinopteri; Perciformes; Bovichtidae. The record is from RNAcentral.
GAUUGGAUCUCCCACCAGAACACCAGCCUUCACCUUGAGAACUGCACAUUCCUCCGAAAACGAUUCCCAGCGUGGGAUGGUGAGAUAGCACUCAGGCCCAGUUCUGCAGGUAAAGAUGACAAGGCCUCGCCUUCAACCUCUUCACACACUUCCCAGCAUCGUCAGAAAGCCAGUUCCCGCUCGAUCAGCCCCCGACGCCACCAUGGCCCAGACAGUAGAAGGGAGAAUCGCAGCAGUCCAUCACAUUCCCCACAGAGCUCCAGAUUCAGUCGCAGGUCCCGAUCUCGUUCUUCAUCCCCAUGGUAUGAUCGCCCUACCUCCUCCCGCUUUCGAUCACGUUCAAGGAGCAGUGAGAGACGAUCGUCGCCGAGGAGAGACAAGAAAUUGUCCUCACUAAGGACCAGAGAUGACAGACGACCAUCUUCAAGGAGGACCCAUGAGAGGCUGUGGUUACCAAGGACGAGUAAUCAAAGACGAUUAGUCAAACGAAAGAAGUCGAGGAAUGCAGAAAACCUGGCUAAGAAACUAAUGGAAACACCAGGUUUGAGAAAUUGCAAACAUUUUAAAGACUUAAGACCAUGUUUAUAGACUUAUUUUGUGUCAAGUGCCUUUAAAGCACACGUACUAGCAAACCUCAC